AGGGAGUCAUGGAGGGUGAGAACCCCGUCUGUGACUCGGUUUUUUUUUGCCCGAUGAAUGACGGUCUCCAAGAGUCGGGUUGUUUGGGAAUGCAGCUCAAAAUGGGUGGUAAAUCUCAUCUAAAGCUAAAUAUUGGCGAGAGACCGAUAGCAAACAAGUAGAGUGAUCGAAAGAUGAAAAGCACUUUGAAAAGAGAGUGAAACAGUACGUGAAAUUGUUGAAAGGGAAGCGUUUGGCAUCAGCCCAUGGCCUCCGACGAUCAUCCGGGCCUCGUGUCCGGUGCACUUUUUUGGGGUCGGGCCAGCAUCGGCUUCGUCCGUCGGAGAAAGGUCCAGAGGACGUGGCUCCCUCACGGGAGCGUUAUAACUCUGGGCGUCAUACGACGUGACGGGGCCGAGGUCCAC
Molecule: ribosomal RNA, 404 nt
Filed under: uncultured Archaeorhizomycetes
Lineage: Eukaryota; Fungi; Ascomycota; Archaeorhizomycetes
Description: eukaryotic LSU rRNA
Rfam family: Eukaryotic large subunit ribosomal RNA
Source: RNAcentral